Molecule: RNA transcript, 1115 nt
Organism: Bubalus bubalis (water buffalo)
Lineage: Eukaryota; Metazoa; Chordata; Mammalia; Artiodactyla; Bovidae
Gene: EEF1B2
Gene name: eukaryotic translation elongation factor 1 beta 2
Exons: 7
Source: RefSeq, a predicted model, not a curated record
AACGCAAAGAAGGGCCAACGGAUAAAUUGCGGGCCAUUAAUUUAGAGCCUUUGCUUUUUACGUUGAAGAAUCUUAACGUACUUUGACCUUUAACCUGCGGCCGAGGGCCUCGGAGAGAAACGCCUCCGUUUCUAUAUAAGGGAUUUCCGGCCUUUGGCGGCCCUUUUUUUCCUCUUAGCGCUGGGCGCAGACCGGUUGCGCGCCUCUUUUUCUUCGCUGCCUCCCAGUUCUAGAUUAGCCGUCGCCAUGGGUUUUGGAGACUUGAAAAGCCCCGCUGGCCUCCAGGUGCUCAACGACUACUUGGCGGACAAGAGUUACAUAGAGGGGUAUGUGCCAUCCCAAGCAGAUGUAGCAGUGUUUGAAGCCGUCUCCGGCCCACCACCUGCCGACUUGUGUCAUGCCCUCCGUUGGUAUAAUCACAUCAAAUCUUAUGAGAAGGAAAAGGCCAGCCUGCCAGGAGUGAAGAAAGCUUUGGGCAAGUAUGGCCCUGCUAAUGUGGAAGACACCACAGAAAGUGGAGCUACAGAUAGUAAAGAUGAUGAUGACAUUGAUCUCUUUGGAUCUGAUGAUGAGGAGGAAAGUGAAGAAGCCAAGAGGCUAAGAGAAGAACGCCUUGCCCAGUAUGAGUCAAAGAAAGCCAAAAAGCUUCAAAACUUCCACAGCUACUGGUCUGCAGCUGUUCUUAAAGGUAGCAGCUGUGGCAUUCCACUGUGGGAAAGAAACUGUCGCACAACUCAACACCUCUUUCUCAGCACAACAGAAAGUGGGCAUGUGUGUGACAAACACAAGAACCAGCACUUGUCGCCAAGUCUUCCAUCUUAUUAGACGUGAAACCUUGGGAUGAUGAGACCGAUAUGGCAAAACUAGAGGAGUGCGUCAGAAGCAUUCAAGCAGACGGCUUGGUCUGGGGCUCUUCUAAACUAGUUCCGGUUGGGUAUGGCAUUAAAAAACUUCAAAUACAGUGUGUAGUUGAAGACGACAAAGUUGGGACAGACAUGCUGGAGGAGCAGAUCACUGCUUUCGAUGAGUAUGUACAGUCUAUGGAUGUGGCUGCAUUCAACAAGAUCUAAAAUCCAUCAUGGUUCAGUGCCCAUAAAUAAAAGUUUGAAAGACAA